UCUUCUGCCCUCAGAUGGACUACCGCUCACUCGUACAUGAGAAGGACGAGGCCAUCUACUCGGAUAUCAGAGUGAUCGUCCUCGACAUCCGCGGCUUCUACGCCGAGCUUUAUGACAUCAUCAGCAAAAACCUGGAGAAGGUGACCAACCCAAAAGGAGAGGAGAAGCCCUCGAUGUACUGAGGCUCCCGGGGAACGGGAAAAGCCACUGGGAUGAAUUUAAACAACCUUCAGCUGCAUUGAUCACCUGCUAAACUCAAUAUCAAUCAAGUAUCCGGCUCUUUGUUUGAUAAACAUUUAAAAUAAAUACAUAAACAACUGGAUGGUUUUUUUUAGUUCUGCUGUUUCAUGGUAACACUUUGGUUUUAUACCAAGAUUUGCACUAAAUUUUAAGUUGUGUGGUAAAGAAUGAAUAAAGAAAAGUGUUUUUCA
Molecule: non-coding RNA, 431 nt
Organism: Neolamprologus brichardi
Lineage: Eukaryota; Metazoa; Chordata; Actinopteri; Cichliformes; Cichlidae
Source: RefSeq, a predicted model, not a curated record